This 30-nucleotide small RNA is filed under the name Bombyx mori (domestic silkworm). RNAcentral's name for it is "ovarian small RNA-17273". Lineage: Eukaryota; Metazoa; Arthropoda; Insecta; Lepidoptera; Bombycidae. The record is from RNAcentral.
GGACCGUGUAGCCAGUUUGGCCGCAGUGGC